UAUGGUGAUGGCUAGGUAAGAACUAGGGAUCUGUGGCAGCAGCUCAUAGAUUAGAAUUAGAUUUGAUAAUUGGAGAUGGAUUCCUGAACCAAUUUGCAAAUUCGUUGGUGAUUUCAGUGCUUAUACUUAUUUGGUUUUGGUGCCUGGUCGGACCUUCUCUAUGUUAGUUCCUUUGCUUAGCCAAAUUAGUUAGGGAUAUAGCCCAUCCAUGAUGUUGCGAGGUUUUGAUUGCCUUCUAGCAAAAAUCUAGAGCGUUGGGUAUCUCUGGCUGUAAACUGAAUCUGGUUCAGUUAAAAACUGCACUGUCAAAUCUGGACAGCCAGCUUCUAGACGCAGCAUCUUCACUUCUUUCCUUGCACAUUCCUAUUAAGGAAGCAAAGAAAUCUUGGAUUCAUAAAUGGGAGAAGCACAUAAGGGAGAAGAAGAUGA
Molecule: non-coding RNA, 429 nt
Organism: Triticum urartu
Lineage: Eukaryota; Viridiplantae; Streptophyta; Magnoliopsida; Poales; Poaceae
Source: RefSeq, a predicted model, not a curated record